GAUGAACGUUGGCGGCGUGCCUAAUACAUGCAAGUCGAACGAAGACUGUAGUAAUACUGUCUUAGUGGCGAACGGGUGAGUAACGCGUGGGUGACCUGCCCCGAAGUGUGGGAUAACAGUCCGAAAGGAUUGCUAAUACUGCAUAAUAUCCAAGAGAUUAGAUGCUUUUGGAUUAAAGGAGUAAUUCGCUUCGGGAGGGGCCCGCGUCCCAUCAGCUAGUUGGUAAGGUAAUGGCUUACCAAGGCGAUGACGGGUAGGGGACCUGAGAGGGUGGCCCCCACAAUGGAACUGAAACACGGUCCAUACACCUACGGGUGGCAGCAGUAGGGAAUAUUAGUAAUGGGCGAAAGCCUGAACUAGCAACGCCGCGUGUGCGAAGAAGGCCUUCGGUCGUAAAGCACUUUUGUAGAGGAUGAGGAAGGACGGUACUCUCAGAAUAAGUCUCGGCUAACUACGUG
Molecule: ribosomal RNA, 458 nt
Filed under: uncultured bacterium
Lineage: Bacteria
Description: bacterial SSU rRNA
Rfam family: Bacterial small subunit ribosomal RNA
Source: RNAcentral